RNAcentral lists this ribosomal RNA (253 nucleotides) under uncultured bacterium. Its description in RNAcentral is "partial 16S ribosomal RNA". It matches the Rfam family "Bacterial small subunit ribosomal RNA", at positions 524 to 776 of the family's 1533-position model. The record is from RNAcentral.
UACGUAGGGGGCUAGCGUUGUCUGGAAUCAUUGGGCGUAAAGAGCGUGUAGGCGGUCCGGUAAGUCCGCUGUGAAAGUCGGGGGCUCAACCCUCGAAUGCCGGUGGAUACUGUCGGGCUUGAGUGCGGAAGAGGCGAGUGGAAUUCCUGGUGUAGCGGUGAAAUGCGCAGAUAUCAGGAGGAACACCUAUUGCGAAGGCAGCUCGCUGGGACGUAACUGACGCUGAGACGCGAAAGCGUGGGGAGCAAACAGG